Molecule: ribosomal RNA, 465 nt
Filed under: Vreelandella stevensii
Lineage: Bacteria; Pseudomonadati; Pseudomonadota; Gammaproteobacteria; Oceanospirillales; Halomonadaceae
Description: partial 16S ribosomal RNA
Rfam family: Bacterial small subunit ribosomal RNA
Source: RNAcentral
CCUACGGGAGGCAGCAGUGGGGAAUAUUGGACAAUGGGCGAAAGCCUGAUCCAGCCAUGCCGCGUGUGUGAAGAAGGCCUUCGGGUUGUAAAGCACUUUCAGUGGGGAAGAAAGCCUUGGGGCUAAUACCCUCGAGGAAGGACAUCACCCACAGAAGAAGCACCGGCUAACUCCGUGCCAGCAGCCGCGGGAAUACGGAGGGUGCGAGCGUUAAUCGGAAUUACUGGGCGUAAAGCGCGCGUAGGCGGUCUGAUAAGCCGGUUGUGAAAGCCCCGGGCUCAACCUGGGAACGGCAUCCGGAACUGUCAGGCUAGAGUGCAGGAGAGGAAGGUAGAAUUCCCGGUGUAGCGGUGAAAUGCGUAGAGAUCGGGAGGAAUACCAGUGGCGAAGGCGGCCUUCUGGACUGACACUGACGCUGAGGUGCGAAAGCGUGGGUAGCAAACAGGAUUAGAUACCCCGGUAGUC